UGACUCUGAAACAUGCUUGGCCUUCCCCAGAGAUUCCUGCUCCCAGCCCAGGCCCAGACGGCAACAGAAGCUCAUGGGGAGUGAAGGGACAGGAUGGAGCGGGAGCGGCGCCAAAGCACGGGGAGAACCAGAGGCCGCAGGAAUGGCAGACUCUGGACAUGCUCCUAGAGAUGGGAGGUCAAAAUGAUCAACGUUCAGGGUCCCUUCAUCUCAGAGGGUCUCGAGUCACCUCAUUUAAAGGUGGGAACUGGGGAUCCUGGAACCUCCCCUGCACCCCAGAUGCUUCUGGGGCCCUUGAGAACUUGCCCUGAGCUGUCACCUGGCCUAGACUCCCAGCCACUUUCAGGGCACAGAGAAACUGCCCUCACUCUGAAAAUGUGGAGACCGGGACCCAGAGAGGUAGAGUGACUUGCCC
This 415-nucleotide long non-coding RNA is filed under the name Homo sapiens (human). RNAcentral's name for it is "non-protein coding lnc-TMEM105-2:9". Lineage: Eukaryota; Metazoa; Chordata; Mammalia; Primates; Hominidae. The record is from RNAcentral.